This 253-nucleotide ribosomal RNA is filed under the name uncultured bacterium. Its description in RNAcentral is "partial 16S ribosomal RNA". It matches the Rfam family "Bacterial small subunit ribosomal RNA", at positions 524 to 776 of the family's 1533-position model. The record is from RNAcentral.
UACGUAGGGACCAAGCGUUGUUCGGAUUUACUGGGCGUAAAGGGCGCGUAGGCGGCUUAACAAGUCACUUGUGAAAUCUCCGGGCUUAACUCGGAACGGCCAAGUGAAACUGUCAAGCUAGAGUGCGGAAGGGGCAAUCGGAAUUCUUGGUGUAGCGGUGAAAUGCGUAGAUAUCAAGAGGAACACCUGAGGUGAAGACGGGUUGCUGGGCUGACACUGACGCUGAGGCGCGAAAGCCAGGGGAGCAAACGGG